UUUCCUCCUAUCUCCGAUAAAAGGUAUGUAAAGAGGGGCAACUGUCAUACCCAAAUUUUGUCCAGGGACGAUUUUUUGAUGGCAUGCAACCUUCGCUUGACCGCUUCGAGACACCCAUCGUUAAGCAAUCCGUGAAGUUCCGCGACAUGUCGGGAGUCGAAAGGAAACAUUAUUGCGCAAUCCGUAAAGUUCCGUAACAUUCCAGAAGCCAAAGAGGGGGUGGUUCCGUAAUCUGUAAAGUUUCAUGACAUUACAGAAAGAAAACAAGUAUCGUUACGUAAUCCGUAAGGUUCCGUAACGUUACGGAAAAAGAAUCAGCAAAGAAGUGGGGGUGAACUUAUCAAGAUAGGGGUGUAAAUAGCAAUUUGAAUCUAGGCCCUUCCAGAACAUUUUGGAAGUUGGGUUGCUUAAGGAGGAAGCAAUUGGGCCGCAAGCUCCUCCACGUUUUUGAAAAAUGGUUUUCGGGGCUUCCCUGGCUUCCGUAAAAUUUCUGAAAACCUUGGGUAAGCAUAUUCCACUUAACAUUGGUGAAAGAGAAGAGAAAAAAAGAUGAAAGUUAAGUCAUAUAUGCUUCCGUAACUUUUCCGUAAAUUACGAAAGAAGGUGGGGUGAACUUAUCAAGAUAGGGGUGUAAAUAGCAAUUCGAGUCUAGGCCCUUCUAGAACAUUUUCAAAGUUGGGUUGCUUAAGGAGGAAACAACUAGGCGGCAAGCUCCUCCACGUUUUUGAAAAAUGGUUUCCGGGGCUUCCGUUGCUUCCGUAAUGCUUCGUAAAAUUUCCGAAAACCUUGGGUAAGCAUAUUCCACUUAACAUUGGUGAAAGGGAAGA
This 827-nucleotide long non-coding RNA is filed under the name Glycine max (soybean). RNAcentral describes it as "long non-coding RNA (GMAX_LNC004341)". Lineage: Eukaryota; Viridiplantae; Streptophyta; Magnoliopsida; Fabales; Fabaceae. The record is from RNAcentral.